UUUUCACUUGAAUAUGGUAAGCAGAUAUUCAUUUUAUAAGUAACAAAAGCAUCAGAAAUAACUAGAGCAACUAAAAGAAUUUUAUUAGUUAAAUAAGAAGGAUCCGAGGUAGUAGGGUAUAAAUGUUCCACUAAUAGGAAACCCAAGCAAUAUAAUAUAAAUUCAAGUAGGGUAUAAAUUUUAUUAGAGCAACUAAAAGAAUUUUAUUAGUUAAAUAAGAAGGAUCCGAGGUAGUAGGGUAUAAAUUCUCUCCAAGCAAUAUAAUAUGAAAUAAUUAUUUUCUGGAUAUCAAUUUUUGCCAUUAUAGGCACGGUUAUAAUAUGGUUCGGUACGAACGAUCAUUUAAUCUUGGCAUAACAUCAGAAUAUAUGCCAAAUUUAAUAUGAAACAUUAUGUUAAACUAGAUCUGCGCAUGUAAUAAUGCAUGUAAGAGGAAGCAAGGAUGGCUGUGAUCUCCAUCCUGUUUACAAUUUUUAUCUCUCACUCAAAGACAGAGCAAGCAUGGAACCAAAGUGGUGUAUUUGUAAAAGGUGGAAGGAGCUAUAGAUGUGUAGAGGGUGGAGAUUUGUAAAAUCAGAUGAUAUGAGAGAUUUUCAUUUUAAUAUUAAUAAAUGAGAUUAAUGAAUGGGGAAAAGGGGGAGUGGGACUCACAGAUGGGCAGUCAAUAGCCUUUUGCAUUUAGGAACAUGAAUCCUUUUACAUAAGUCCUAACAGUGUAUUCCAUGAUUUGACAUGUAACAGUUAUUAGUCAUGAUGUUUCUUAGUUAAGGAAAAAAAGCAUCACUUGUUAAGUAAAAAUUAAAGCAAAAAAGAAAAACACUAUGAGGGGAUGCAUUUUGUAGGCUGUUUUCAUCUGAUACAUUAAAGCAUAUUAAUCAUGUCAUUUGCUUAUUAGCAAUGACAUUCUUUACCUCUCUAAGUUUAAACCCUCUUGGGGUAUAUAAAAAGGAAAAAGCAAAGGAAGAGGAAUGGGGUGGGCCGGUGGGGCGUAGCCUAAAAACCUAAUCCAAGAGUAGGACCAACAUUGUCUUCUUUUUCUUCAUUAAAUUAUUCUCCCCUCUCGUGCAAUUUUUUUUUUUCCUUUUAACAAAUUAAGAAGUCAUGAGAAAACAUUUAUAUUUCAUUGCUUUGGAGAAGCCCAUGAGAGAUGUUCGCAAGAUUCUCCCCUCUCUUCUUUUCUGCAGUAAAUAAAGACUUUCAAGUCUUAACCAUGAAGAUUAUCCUCUAUGAUGUCAAGCUACAGGACUCAACAAUCUAUUUUGAUAAAAGUAGUGUAACCUUUCUUGGCCAGUUCAGUCAAGAAAGUCCUACUUAAUUGAUUUCAGACCUAACUGCCAUUAACUUACUUGGGAAUCUCAUUGCAUUAUUCAAUUCUUGAAAUGAAUAAGUUUUUUUAUUGAAAAAUUUGAAAAACAUGCUACCAGGUUGGAAAACACAAUUUUUAUCUCUGGGUGGAGGACUUUGUGAAAGCAGUCCAAUCAGCUAUUCCUGCUAAUUGGAUGCCAGUUCUAAUCGUUCCUAAAUGGGUCGCCAAGAAAUUGGACAGUGUAAGAAGAGCCCUCCUGUGGAGAGACAUUGAAAAAAGUUAAUGGAAGUUUUGAAAAAAGUUAAUGGAGCUUUUUUCAUGGUAAAUUAGUUCCAAGUCUAAAAAGGAAAUUCAAGGUAGAUUAGGAGUCAAAAUUUUGCAGCUUUCUAAUAAAGUGCCAUGAUGCAAGUG
Molecule: long non-coding RNA, 1717 nt
Filed under: Phoenix dactylifera (date palm)
Lineage: Eukaryota; Viridiplantae; Streptophyta; Magnoliopsida; Arecales; Arecaceae
Description: long non-coding RNA (PDAC_LNC005784)
Source: RNAcentral